Molecule: long non-coding RNA, 884 nt
Organism: Solanum lycopersicum (tomato)
Lineage: Eukaryota; Viridiplantae; Streptophyta; Magnoliopsida; Solanales; Solanaceae
Source: RefSeq, a predicted model, not a curated record
UGAACUCAGUUAAAGGGCAGUUCGGUCAUUCUUCAACUUAGAGCUGAUCCUUUUUCUUUUCUACAGCUUCUAACGCCGCCUCAACCUUGCUUCCUCUUCCUUUUCUCUUCUUCCCAGCUUUGCCGCUUUCUGUUAUCCUCGGCUUCGUCGUUCUGUCCAGGUGAUUCCUUAUCUUCUUACUUUCGCCACCAAACGUUACCUUCUUAAUUAGGUGCUUCGGGGAAGUUUGGAGCCACCUAUUACCUUAGAUUUUGCGAGUUUAUUCACUCCUCCUGUUUGAGCCGCUAUUAGGCUCAACAUUCAGCACAUGUAGAGAGCAACAAAAUGUCACUCCUGAGGUCAUUUCUAUCCAAAACUUGACAUCCAACACAUGUACAGAACAACACAGUGUCACUUCUGAGGUUGUUACAAAGAAAGCUAAUGGAUUUGGGCACUUUCAUGCUCGUAUCAUAUAUUGGAUUUAUAUUUGGAUUUGUGAUGUUCACCAUAUUAGUGCAUGAAGUUUUAUACCAAGGUUCUGAAGUGCUACCAACGUCGUCGUGGUCAUGUGAAUGUGGAUACUGAUGAAGACGAGAUGGAAAUCCCUCCAGUUUGAAGAUGGAGUUAGUUAAUUAGUUUAUUUGUUUUUUUUGUAAUGUAUCUUUUGUAAGGGUUGCUAACUCCCUAACAUUCGAGAAAACAUAGUCGUAAAUGACCUUGGUUAGUUUUUGUUGUUUUCUAAAUGAUAGGAUCAACUUUGAACAUAGUCUUGCACGGACUCGGUCAAUUUUUGUUGCAAAGGUCAUUUUUUUGUAAUAUGGGUGCAUCUACUUCAGCAUGUACUGUAAUUUCUGAACAUUUGGCCAUUCGUCGUUGUAUCCAAACUAAUUUUACUGCUUUCUGAA